Molecule: ribosomal RNA, 492 nt
Filed under: uncultured bacterium
Lineage: Bacteria
Description: partial 16S ribosomal RNA
Rfam family: Bacterial small subunit ribosomal RNA
Source: RNAcentral
AGUGAACGCUGGCGGUAGGCCUAACACAUGCAAGUCGAACGGCAGCACGGUAAGAGCUUGCUCUUACGGGUGGCGAGUGGCGGACGGGUGAGGAAUACAUCGGAAUCUACUUUUUCGUGGGGGAUAACGUAGGGAAACUUACGCUAAUACCGCAUACGACCUACGGGUGAAAGCAGGGGAUCUUCGGACCUUGCGCGAGUGAAUGAGCCGAUGUCGGAUUAGCUAGUUGGCGGGGUAAAGGCCCACCAAGGCGACGAUCCGUAGCUGGUCUGAGAGGAUGAUCAGCCACACUGGAACUGAGACACGGUCCAGACUCCUACGGGAGGCAGCAGUGGGGAAUAUUGGACAAUGGGCGCAAGCCUGAUCCAGCCAUACCGCGUGGGUGAAGAAGGCCUUCGGGUUGUAAAGCCCUUUUGUUGGGAAAGAAAAGCAGCAGGUUAAUACCCCGCUGUUCUGACGGUACCCAAAGAAUAAGCACCGGCUAACUUCGUG